CCCUUAGAUGUUCUGGGCCGCACGCGCGCUACACUGAUGCAUUCAACGAGUUUCUUCCUGGUCCGAGAGGAAUGGGUAACCUUUUGAAAGUGCAUCGUGAUAGGGAUAGACUAUUGCAAUUAUUGGUCUUCAACGAGGAAUUCCUAGUAGACGUAGUUCAUCAGACUGCAUCGAUUACGUCCCUGACCUUUGUACACACCGCCCGUCGCUCCUACCGAUUGAAUGCUCAGGUGAGCCAUUCGGACUUUCAUCAUGCUGGUUUCCAGUUUUGAUGAAGGAAAGUCUUGCGAACCUUAUCAUUUAGAGGAAGGAGAAGUCGUAACA
Molecule: ribosomal RNA, 324 nt
Filed under: uncultured eukaryote
Lineage: Eukaryota
Description: partial 18S ribosomal RNA
Rfam family: Eukaryotic small subunit ribosomal RNA
Source: RNAcentral